Molecule: RNA transcript, 2488 nt
Organism: Onychostruthus taczanowskii (white-rumped snowfinch)
Lineage: Eukaryota; Metazoa; Chordata; Aves; Passeriformes; Passeridae
Gene: SEMA4A
Gene name: semaphorin 4A
Exons: 16
Source: RefSeq, a predicted model, not a curated record
CCAGCAGCGUGUGCCCUCACCCUCGCCCUCCCCGCAGGGAUGGUGGUGGGACCCUCGUGGGGCGCGCCCCUGCCGCCCCCCACCAUGCCCGCCGCCCUUCGCCUGCUCUGCGGGGUGGUGGUGCCGGCUGCCCUGCUCUGCGCGGAGCCCCUGCCCCGCGUCACCUUCCCCAGCGGGGACCCCCGGCGGACCCUCACCCACUUCAGCCAGGACAACGUCUCCCAUUAUGACAUCUUCCUCCUGGGUGAGAGCGAGGAGGAGCUCUACGUGGGGGCACGCGACUGGGUGCUGGCCCUCGCUGUUGGCACCCCUGGCAGCAUCCGUGCCAAGGCCUCGAUAAUGUGGGGACCCACAGAUGAGAAAACCUCUGAAUGUGCUUUCAAGAAGAAGAGCCAAGAGACUGAGUGCUUCAACUUCAUCCGAGUCCUGGUGGCCCUGAACCAGACCCACCUCUACGCCUGUGGGACCUACGCCUUCAGCCCCGCCUGCACCUACAUUCACCUGGAGAACUUCACGCUGGUGGCCAGUGGCAGAGGACAGUCCUUCCUGGACGGGAAGGGCCAGUGCCCCUUCGAUCCCCAGCACACUUACACGGCCCUGCUGGUGGACGGAGAGCUCUAUGCUGGCACCAUGAACAACUUCCAGGGCAACGAGCCCAUCAUCUCCCGCUCGCUGGGCACCCGCACCCUGCUCAAGACAGACGCCUUCCUCCGCUGGCUCUCGGCCGACGCCGCCUUCGUGGCCUCCUUCAGCAUCCCUGGGGAUGACAAGGUCUACUUCUUCUUUGAGGAGACAGCAGACGAGUUCGACUUCUUUGAGAGGCUCCUGGUGCCACGGGUGGCCCGUGUGUGUAAGAGCGAUGUAGGGGGGGACAAGGUGCUGCAGAAGAAGUGGACAACUUUCCUGAAGGCGCAGCUGGAGUGCUCCCAGGCUGGCCGCUUCCCCUUCAACGUCAUCCACCACGCCUUUGCCCUGCCCCGCCACGACGGCGGCGCCGACUUCUACGCAGUGUUCACCUCGCAGUGGCAGGCGGGCAGGGCGGGCAGCGCCGCCGUCUGUGCCUACAGACAGGAGGAUCUGGAGGAGGUCUUCGAGGGCAAGUACAAGGAGCUGAACAAGGAGAGCUCUCGCUGGACCGUCUACAGUGGCCCCGACAUGAGUCCCCGGCCUGGCAGUUGCUCCAUGGGUGCCUCCUCGGACAAAGCCCUCUCCUUCAUGAAGGACCAUUUCCUGAUGGACGGGAAGGUGUCACCCCUCCAGGAGCAGCCUCUCCUGGUGAAGUCGGAUGUCACCUACACGCGCAUCACAGUGCACGAGACUCGCAGCGUGCAGGGGACCCCCUAUCGUGUCAUGUUCCUGGCCACAGCCCAGGGUUUCCUGCACAAGGCAGUGCAGCUGUCGGGGGGUGCCCACAUCGUGGAGAGCAUCCAGCUCUUUGCAGUGCCAGAGCCAGUGAGGAACCUGCUGCUGGCACCAGGGAAGGGCAUCCUCUAUGUGGGCUACUCCAGAGGCGUCCUGCAGGUCCCGCUGGCCAACUGCAGCCUGCACCGGAGCUGCGCCGAGUGCGUGCUGGCACGGGACCCCUACUGCGCCUGGCACAGCCCGGAGGGCUCCUGCCGGCCCGCCCGCCUCGCCACCGAGAACACGAGUGCGUGGCUGCAGGACAUUGAGAAGGGGAGCCCGGUCACCACGUGCCACCGAGGGAGGAGCGCAGCCAUGCCCCGCUCCUGGGGGGCACCGGAGGACCCCGCUGUCCAGGGGCUCAGCCCCCCGCUGAACGCCGUGGUCCAGCUGCCGUGCCCCCGCCGCUCUGCCCUGGCCACCUACAGCUGGCAGCAGCCCGACGGUGCCCGGGGGCACACGGUGCUGCAGCCUGACCACACGCUGGUGGUCAUCAUGCAGCAGGGAAUGGCCGGCACCUACAAGUGCCAGGCCACAGAGAAUGGCUACACCUGGACCGUGGCUCACUACCAGCUCGGGGACUCUGGGGGGGACGGGCUGGCGGAGCAGGGCUCGGCCCCCCGCUCGUACUGGCCGCAGUUUGUCACGGUGGCCGUGCUGCUGGCCGUGACGCUGGCCAUGGCCGCCUGCCUGGCCCUCCUCGCCUGCCGCGACCAGCUCAGGGCUCGCAGCAAGGUGCGGGGCUGCGGCGCGCCCCACAGCCCCCCGUCCCGCCACCGGGAGAAGGUGCCCCUCAAUGGGGGCACCGGAGAGCCCCCGGCACCCGGAGCUGCCACCGAGGAGGAGGAGGAGGAUGAAGGCUCCCAGGCUUGCUGCCUCCAGCUCGAUGGGGACAUCGACGUGGACAACAACCGGCUCCACGUGCCAGCGGGGGACACGGCGUGACACUGCCAAUCCUGGAACUGAAAAGUGAUGUCCUGACACCUGGGAGCAUGACAGACCUGGAAUGACUGGGGAGAAGCUGCUUUCGUUGGCCAUCCCUGAUCUUGCGUGCCCAUUAGAAGGUGCCAGCACUUGCAGUCUGCUU